RNAcentral lists this ribosomal RNA (702 nucleotides) under Pseudomonas putida. RNAcentral's name for it is "bacterial SSU rRNA". It matches the Rfam family "Bacterial small subunit ribosomal RNA", at positions 52 to 749 of the family's 1533-position model. The record is from RNAcentral. Lineage: Bacteria; Pseudomonadati; Pseudomonadota; Gammaproteobacteria; Pseudomonadales; Pseudomonadaceae.
CACAUGCAAGUCGAGCGGAUGACGGGAGCUUGCUCCCGAAUUCAGCGGCGGACGGGUGAGUAAUGCCUAGGAAUCUGCCUGGUAGUGGGGGACAACGUCUCGAAAGGGACGCUAAUACCGCAUACGUCCUACGGGAGAAAGUGGGGGAUCUUCGGACCUCACGCUAUCAGAUGAGCCUAGGUCGGAUUAGCUAGUUGGUGAGGUAAUGGCUCACCAAGGCGACGAUCCGUAACUGGUCUGAGAGGAUGAUCAGUCACACUGGAACUGAGACACGGUCCAGACUCCUACGGGAGGCAGCAGUGGGGAAUAUUGGACAAUGGGCGAAAGCCUGAUCCAGCCAUGCCGCGUGUGUGAAGAAGGUCUUCGGAUUGUAAAGCACUUUAAGUUGGGAGGAAGGGCAUUAACCUAAUACGUUGAUGUUUUGACGUUACCGACAGAAUAAGCACCGGCUAACUCUGUGCCAGCAGCCGCGGUAAUACAGAGGGUGCAAGCGUUAAUCGGAAUUACUGGGCGUAAAGCGCGCGUAGGUGGUUUGUUAAGUUGGAUGUGAAAGCCCCGGGCUCAACCUGGGAACUGCAUCCAAAACUGGCAAGCUAGAGUAGGGCAGAGGGUGGUGGAAUUUCCUGUGUAGCGGUGAAAUGCGUAGAUAUAGGAAGGAACACCAGUGGCGAAGGCGACCACCUGGGCUCAUACUGACACUGA